Drosophila serrata is the source of this 407-nucleotide long non-coding RNA. RefSeq lists it as uncharacterized. The record is from RefSeq and is a predicted model, not a curated record. Lineage: Eukaryota; Metazoa; Arthropoda; Insecta; Diptera; Drosophilidae.
CACGUGUAUUUGUCGGAUGUCGUUCAUUUCAUUUUUAAACUCGCGAUGUGAGAAAUAACGCAGACCUAAUGGAUAAAUUGAACUUCAAGCGUGCAUUGUGCGCGUGAGACGCCUCCGGCCACAUGUGACGUCGUUGAGACACCUCGGGGCACGCGAGGUUACUGAGACACCUCGAGACACGCGAGGUUUCUGAGACACUUCGGGACACAUGUGAGCCCUUUUGGGGACACAGAGAAGGUCUUGGAAGCCUGGUUGAGGUUAGGUUUUCCUACCCGUGGACGCGAAGCGGCUGAGCACGUGCAUAAGACCAUCCAAGAUUGACCGACUUAAAUAUUUGCUGAUCCAAAGAAGAUUCUUCAACCCAGAAAAAUUAUUAGAAAAAUAAAGCUUAUAUAAAUGGAAAUUUA